CAGGGGUCUGGGCGCGGCGAGAUCUGGUGUGGCAGAUGUGGAUAGCUGGACCCUCCUGGGUGCCUCUGCGUUAUGUCGUUUGGUUGAUGCAUUUGGAGAGAAUCUGUGCUCUCCACACCUGCAGGGGCAACAUGCUUUCCUGGCCUCUUCAGAUCAGGGUGGCUGUUCUUGGGUGCUGCACCAAAACUCCAGCAGUGGGCUUUCUUCAAGUGGCCGGCUCACCUCAUUCCUGCCAAGACCCAGGUCCGUGUUCUCACAGCGCUGCCAUCUUUCCUCCGUGUGAGCGUGUGCUGUGCGGAGAGUGGACCUCGGUGUGUGCGGGGCUGCGUGCACUGCCAUCGGCUCCCUCUACACGAGCCGCCGUGGACCCAGGGCUGAGCUGUGACCACGAGGGCCAUCCCGACGAGCCGCCGUGGACCCAGGGCUGAGCUGUGACCACGAGGGCUAUCCCGACGAGCCGCCAUGGACCCAGGGCUGAGCCGUGACCAUGAGGGCCAUCCCGAAACUGUGAUUGUUUUCUGAUGAAGAAACCAAGGCUUUGUGACUAACUCAACCCCUCAAGAAGGACAAAACUAGCAUCAGAGCCCCUUGCUCCUGGGUCUGGCAAGAAUGCCUCUUGUUUGCUGAGAGGUCCACAGAUUUACCCGGCUCAAGACUGGGAGAUGGGAGGUGACCAGGUCAGUGCCAGCCUCUCUCUGAGCUCCUCUGAGUCGUGGCAGCUGAGGUGCUCCUCCGGGAAUGUUCUGCCAUCCGUGAGGUCGUGUACGCCUGGAAGCUUUUGUUCCAUUGAACUCUGCCAGGGAGCUAUACUUAGCCACGCGAGUGGUGGCCAGGAGUGGGUUCUCUGAAUAUAGAUAGUAGCAAGCAGGCUAUUUUCAAACACCUAGAGAACCGCCAUGAUUAUUCUGGGCCAAAAUGAUAUUUAUAGGAUGCUCUGGGCCCUUGGACAUGAAGGCAAUAACCUUAGCGCCUUUUGGCGUUCGGGAUAAGUUUCUUUCAACGGGGAGUGGAGAGAGGGACCCGGUCACCCAGAGGCCCGCUGUCCCUCAACACCUGUUUCCAGGAGGCCAGGCGUCCUCUUUGCUUUUACACUGUGAGUCAGAGAACAGCGAGAGGCACGCAGGGCCCCACUAAUUUUCCUUCCUGCACACCCUGGUGUGGGUCCUGUCUGAGGCCUGCCGCGUGCUAUCAGGGAAGACGUCAUCAGGGGACUUUUCCUGCUGUGAGGAGGGUGCAGCCCCCGCCUUUCAGAGCUCGGGACACCCUCUUCCUCUUGUCCAGGAUCCUCAGGGAUUUCCUAGGCUUCCACCCUCACCCAGACAUCACUGGGCCGUCACUGAAACACCCGCUUCCAGUGUGCUCAGGUCCUGCAGCCUCCUGUCCAUCCUUGCCCCGCCUCCCGCCCGGAGGAAAGACUCUGACACUGCCCCUGGAAGAGGGAGGAGAGUGGAUGUGAUGAGUGAAGAUUUGGGUGGGGAAAGGAUGGCCUGAGUCCUGGGAGGAAGAGCUCUCCCGGCCCCGAGCCCCCGGAGACUGUGAGCAAGGCUGAGACGCCUCCUUCCUGGUGCUCAAGCUGCAGGUGUUGGAUAGGGCUCCAGAAGCCCAGAUUUUAAAUGACCGCUCCAGGUUAACCUGGGGAUGGUCAGGCAGAACAAGGAGGAGAGGCCAGCAGUGAAGGGCAGGGCUGGUGGGCAGUGGCUGGGGGUGUCCUGGGUGGAGCUGGCCACCCUGGCUGCCUCUGACUUGGGCCAGACCUGCGUUAAGUGGAGUGGCUCCUCCAUUCUUUACACCCCAGGCCGCUGGCAGGUGCCCUGCCUUUCCUCUGCCCCUCUCUCUGCCAAUCCAUCCUCUCCCUCCCAGCCCCUCCCCGCCCAGAUAUAAAUAUAAGAGCAUUUUCCAUGGGCUGAGACAGAAGGGAAAACAUUCAGCUUUAUUUUCGGCUUGUGAAAUUCCUGUCCUUCAUUCCCAACAGGUGCAAUCGCCUCAUUUAGAUAUUGGGACCCAGAAAUAGAACACAAUUAACAAUAUAGCUUCCUUUAGGGAUCUGGAUGCUACAAAAAAAACAGACAAAAAAAAAAGCC
RNAcentral lists this non-coding RNA (2081 nucleotides) under Pan troglodytes (chimpanzee). The record is from RNAcentral. Lineage: Eukaryota; Metazoa; Chordata; Mammalia; Primates; Hominidae.